AUUGAACGCUGGCGGCAUGCCUUACACAUGCAAGUCGAACGGCAGCACGGGAGCAAUCCUGGUGGCGAGUGGCGAACGGGUGAGUAAUAUAUCGGAACGUGCCCAGUCGUGGGGGAUAACGCAGCGAAAGCUGUGCUAAUACCGCAUACGAUCUAAGGAUGAAAGCGGGGGAUCGCAAGACCUCGCGCUAUUGGAGCUGCCGAUAUCAGAUUAGCUAGUUGGUGGGGUAAAGGCCCACCAAGGCGACGAUCUGUAGCUGGUCUGAGAGGACGACCAGACACACUGGAACGGAGACACGGUCCAGACUCCUAGGGGAGGCAGCAGUGGGGAAUUUUGGACAACGGGCGCAAGCCUGAUCCAGCAAUGCCGCGUGGAGGAUGAAGGCCUUCGGGUUGUAAACUGAUUUUGGACGGAACGAAACGGCCCUUUCUAAUACAGGGUGCUAAUGACGGUACCGUAAGAAUAAGCUCCGGCUAAAUUCGUGCCAGCCGCCGCCGUAA
This 500-nucleotide ribosomal RNA is filed under the name uncultured bacterium. RNAcentral describes it as "partial 16S ribosomal RNA". It matches the Rfam family "Bacterial small subunit ribosomal RNA", at positions 30 to 523 of the family's 1533-position model. The record is from RNAcentral.